RNAcentral lists this ribosomal RNA (253 nucleotides) under uncultured bacterium. RNAcentral's name for it is "partial 16S ribosomal RNA". It matches the Rfam family "Bacterial small subunit ribosomal RNA", at positions 524 to 776 of the family's 1533-position model. The record is from RNAcentral.
UACGUAGGGACCGAGCGUUGUCCGGAUUCAUUGGGCGUAAAGAGCUCGUAGGCGGCUGUUCAAGUCGAACGUGAAAACUCGGAGCUCAACUCCGAGCCUGCGUUCGAUACUGGACGGCUAGAGUCUGGUAGGGGGAUCUGGAAUUCCUGGUGUAGCGGUGGAAUGCGCAGAUAUCAGGAGGAACACCGGUGGCGAAGGCAGCCGCCUGGCCUGACACUGACGCUGAGGUGCGAAAGCGUGGGGAGCGAACGGG